This 57-nucleotide transfer RNA is filed under the name Onchocerca flexuosa. RNAcentral's name for it is "tRNA-Asn". Lineage: Eukaryota; Metazoa; Nematoda; Chromadorea; Rhabditida; Onchocercidae. The record is from RNAcentral.
GAAUUUUUAGUAUAUUUUUUUGUAUAACUAAUUGUUGAUUAGUAGGUUGAAAAUUCU